GUUAUUACCAACAAAAUAAAAACACAAACCAUAUAGAUUAUUAUGUAUACCGAGUGAGGUGCAUGCUCUGCCAAAUCUUCAUAACUUGAGAAACACUUACUUUCUGCCCCAGUUGAAGCAGCAGCCGCAGCUCGAGGAUGUGAAUUUCUUGUCUGGCUUGCGAUCAUAUAGAUAUUUGGAGUUCGAUGCAAAGAUAGGAACUUUGGCGGAG
Molecule: unclassified non-coding RNA, 211 nt
Filed under: Hevea brasiliensis (rubber tree)
Lineage: Eukaryota; Viridiplantae; Streptophyta; Magnoliopsida; Malpighiales; Euphorbiaceae
Source: RNAcentral